This 233-nucleotide long non-coding RNA is filed under the name Lathyrus oleraceus (garden pea). RNAcentral describes it as "Pisum sativum (pea) long non-coding RNA (PSAT_LNC026994)". Lineage: Eukaryota; Viridiplantae; Streptophyta; Magnoliopsida; Fabales; Fabaceae. The record is from RNAcentral.
UUUUUUGCAUUUUUCAUCAUUCAUUUUUUCAUUUUUUUUUUGCAUUACUUUCUUUUGAAAAUAAACAUGCUAUGAUGCAAAUGAUGCAACUAUGACUGGUUGGCUGUACAUCACAAGGCACAGGAUCGGAGCUUCGGCAUGAAUUCGGAACCGGAAACCACAGAUCAAAGUCAUCUAGAACCCAAAGUCAUCUGGAACCCAAAAUCAUCUGGAACCCCUGCUUCAGAACCAAG